UGGAGCUGUUCACUCCAUCUCCCUGGACAAAGCCAAGGAGAUGUACAUGCAUGGCACAGAGUUUGACUCAAGCGAGAUAACCCAGCUUGGGGAACAGCUUCAGAGCCACAUUUCCUCAAAAGCGAGGCUUCCUGAGCAAUUACAAGAAAGCCUUGGAGCGUGAGGAAUUCCUCAGGCGCCUGUAAUCCCUGGGUAGUGAAUGUGUCUGCUGGAUAGUCUGUUGUGUAUAAAAUAAAGAAAAUAUAUCAUU
Long non-coding RNA from Solea senegalensis (Senegalese sole), 250 nucleotides. RefSeq lists it as uncharacterized. The record is from RefSeq and is a predicted model, not a curated record. NCBI's taxonomy places the organism in Eukaryota, Metazoa, Chordata, Actinopteri, Pleuronectiformes, Soleidae. The transcript has 2 exons.